GACUACCAGGGUAUCUAAUCCUGUUUGCUCCCCACGCUUUCGUGCAUGAGCGUCAGUACUGGCCCAGGAGGCUGCCUUCGCCAUCGGUGUUCCUCCGCAUCUCUACGCAUUUCACUGCUACACGCGGAAUUCCACCUCCCUCUGCCGUACUCUAGUUAUGCAGUCACAAACGCAGUUCCCAGGUUGAGCCCGGGGAUUUCACAUCUGUCUUACAUAACCGCCUGCGCACGCUUUACGCCCAGUAAUUCCGAUUAACGCUCGCACCCUACGUAUUACCGCGGCUGCUGGCACGUAGUUAGCCGGUGCUUCUUCUGAUGGUACCGUCAUCCACACCCUGUAUUAAAAGAUGCGAUUUCUUUCCACCUGAAAGAGCUUUACAACCCGAAGGCCUUCUUCACUCACGCGGCAUGGCUGGAUCAGGGUUGCCCCCAUUGUCCAAAAUUCCCCACUGCAGCCGCCCGUAGG
Molecule: ribosomal RNA, 465 nt
Filed under: uncultured Zoogloea sp.
Lineage: Bacteria; Pseudomonadati; Pseudomonadota; Betaproteobacteria; Rhodocyclales; Zoogloeaceae
Description: partial 16S ribosomal RNA
Source: RNAcentral